AAAGUGGAGCAAUCCAUGAGUAGAGUGGCAAACGGGUGAGUNACACGUGGGUGACCUGCCUUCGAGCGGGGGAUAACGUCCCGAAAGGGACGCUAAUACCGCAUGACAUCCUGUCUUUUAACAGAUGGAGAUCAAAGCCGGGGAUCGCAAGACCUGGCACUCGAAGAGGGGCCCGCGCCUGAUUAGCUAGUUGGUGAGGUAAUGGCUCACCAAGGCAACGAUCAGUAUCCGGCCUGAGAGGGCGGACGGACACACUGGGACUGAGACACGGCCCAGACUCCUACGGGAGGCAGCAGUGGGGAAUUGUUCGCAAUGGGCGCAAGCCUGACGACGCAACGCCGCGUGGAGGAUGAAGAUCUUCGGGUCGUAAACUCCUUUCGAUCGAGAUGAAUGGCCUCCGGGUGAACAAUCCGGAGGAAUGACAGUACCGAGAGAAGAAGCCCCGGCUAACUCCGUGCCAGCAGCCGCGGUAAUACGGGGGGGGCAAGCGUUGUUCGGAAUUACUGGGCGUAAAGGGCUUGUAGGUGGCCAACUAAGUCAGACGUGAAAUCCCUCGGCUUAACCGGGGAACUGCGUCUGAUACUGGAUGGCUUGAGUGUGGGAGAGGGAUGCGGAAUUCCAGGUGUAGCGGUGAAAUGCGUAGAUAUCUGGAGGAACACCGGUGGCGAAGGCGGCAUCCUGGACCAUUACUGACACUGAAAAGCGAAAGCCAGGGGAGCAAACGGGAUUAGAUACCCCGGUAGUCCUGGCCCUAAACGAUGAAUGCUUGGUGUGGCGGGUAUCGAUCCCUGCCGUGCCGAAGCU
RNAcentral lists this ribosomal RNA (804 nucleotides) under uncultured Bacillota bacterium. RNAcentral describes it as "bacterial SSU rRNA". It matches the Rfam family "Bacterial small subunit ribosomal RNA", at positions 71 to 853 of the family's 1533-position model. Lineage: Bacteria; Bacillati; Bacillota. The record is from RNAcentral.